AGACAGCAGUCGCCACGGUAAUACGGAGGGUGCAAGCGUUAAUCGGAAUUACUGGGCGUAAAGCGCACGCAGGCGGUUUGUUAAGUCAGAUGUGAAAUCCCCGAGCUUAACUUGGGAACUGCAUUUGAAACUGGCAAGCUAGAGUCUUGUAGAGGGGGGUAGAAUUCCAGGUGUAGCGGUGAAAUGCGUAGAGAUCUGGAGGAAUACCGGUGGCGAAGGCGGCCCCCUGGACAAAGACUGACGCUCAGGUGCGAAAGCGUGGGGAGCAAACAGGAUUAGAUACCCCUGUAGUCCCUGUCUCUUAUAC
Molecule: ribosomal RNA, 307 nt
Filed under: uncultured bacterium
Lineage: Bacteria
Description: partial 16S ribosomal RNA
Rfam family: Bacterial small subunit ribosomal RNA
Source: RNAcentral